Molecule: transfer RNA, 72 nt
Filed under: Daphnia pulex (common water flea)
Lineage: Eukaryota; Metazoa; Arthropoda; Branchiopoda; Diplostraca; Daphniidae
Rfam family: tRNA
About the family: Transfer RNA (tRNA) molecules are approximately 80 nucleotides in length.
Source: Rfam by way of RNAcentral
UCCCAUAUUGUCUAGUGGUUAGGAUACCUGGGUCUCACCCAGGAGGCUCGGGUUCAAUUCCCGGUAUGGGAA